GACGUAGGGCGCAAGCGUUGUCCGGAAUUAUUGGGCGUAAAGAGCUUGUAGGCGGUUUGUCGCGUCUGCUGUGAAAUCUCAAGGCUCAACCUUGAGCUUGCAGUGGGUACGGGCAGACUAGAGUGUGGUAGGGGAGACUGGAAUUCCUGGUGUAGCGGUGAAAUGCGCAGAUAUCAGGAGGAACACCGAUGGCGAAGGCAGGUCUCUGGGCCACUACUGACGCUGAGAAGCGAAAGCAUGGGGAGCGAACAGG
Molecule: ribosomal RNA, 253 nt
Filed under: uncultured bacterium
Lineage: Bacteria
Description: partial 16S ribosomal RNA
Rfam family: Bacterial small subunit ribosomal RNA
Source: RNAcentral